This 74-nucleotide transfer RNA is filed under the name Geodermatophilaceae bacterium. Its description in RNAcentral is "tRNA-Leu". It matches the Rfam family "tRNA". Rfam says of the family: Transfer RNA (tRNA) molecules are approximately 80 nucleotides in length. Their secondary structure includes four short double-helical elements and three loops (D, anti-codon, and T loops). Lineage: Bacteria; Bacillati; Actinomycetota; Actinomycetes; Geodermatophilales; Geodermatophilaceae. RNAcentral also lists the same sequence under 1 other name. The record is from RNAcentral.
GCCCCCGUACCCCAAUUGGCAGAGGGAGCGGACUCAAAACCCGCCCAGUGUGAGUUCGAGUCUCACCGGGGGCA